AAUCUUAGACAAUGGGCGCAAGCCUGAUCUAGCCAUGCCGCGUGAGUGAUGAAGCCCUUAGGGUCGUAAAGCUCUUUCGCUGGGGAAGAUAAUGACGGUACCCAGUAAAGAAACCCCGGCUAACUCCGUGCCAGCAGCCGCGGUAAUACGGAGGGGGUUAGCGUUGUUCGGAAUUACUGGGCGUAAAGCGCGCGUAGGCGGAUCAGAAAGUUGGGGGUGAAAUCCCGGGGCUCAACCCCGGAAUGGCCUUCAAAACUCCUGGUCUUGAGGUCGAGAGAGGUGAGUGGAAUUCCGAGUGUAGAGGUGAAAUUCGUAGAUAUUCGGAGGAACACCAGUGGCGAAGGCGGCUCACUGGCUCGAUACUGACGCUGAGGUGCGAAAGCGUGGGGAGCAAACAG
RNAcentral lists this ribosomal RNA (398 nucleotides) under uncultured Citreicella sp. RNAcentral describes it as "bacterial SSU rRNA". It matches the Rfam family "Bacterial small subunit ribosomal RNA", at positions 360 to 775 of the family's 1533-position model. The record is from RNAcentral. Lineage: Bacteria; Pseudomonadati; Pseudomonadota; Alphaproteobacteria; Rhodobacterales; Roseobacteraceae.